AUACCUCUCCCUCGAGUACUAUGUAUUCAUAUACCACUUGUAUGUUGUCGAAUGUGAUCAAUGGGCUUAUAUGCCUAUAAUAAUCAUAUACAACUUUCAGCAACGGAUCUCUUGGCUCUCGCAUCGAUGAAGAACGCAGCGAAAUGCGAUAAGUAAUGUGAAUUGCAGAAUUCAGUGAAUCAUCGAAUCUUUGAACGCACCUUGCGCUCCUUGGUAUUCCGAGGAGCAUGCCUGUUUGAGUGUCAUUAAAUUCUCAACCCCUCCAGCUUUUGCGAGUUGUGAUGGGGCUUGGAUAUGGGGGUUUGCGGGCCUUUAUUAAGAGGUCGGCUCUCCUGAAAUACAUUAGCGGAACCGUUUGCAGUCCCGUCACUAGUGUGAUAAUUAUCUACACUGUGAUGAUUGCUCUCUGACUAGUUCAGCUGCUAAUAGUCCCUUGUUGGACAACAUUAAUGAACUUCUUGACCUCAAAUCAGGUAGGACUACCCGCUGAACUUAAGCAUAUCAAUAAGCGG
RNAcentral lists this ribosomal RNA (512 nucleotides) under Bovista aestivalis. Its description in RNAcentral is "eukaryotic LSU rRNA". The stretch from base 92 to 245 matches the Rfam family "5.8S ribosomal RNA". The record is from RNAcentral. Lineage: Eukaryota; Fungi; Basidiomycota; Agaricomycetes; Agaricales; Lycoperdaceae.